CUUCUUCUUCUACAAGCGGAUCUGUGUCCAGCACUCCCGUUCACAGCUGUGUUUCGGUUGAGAGCUGGGCAGCUCGACGAUUUACGGAGCCAUACUUUUUCUUCACAUGUAUGGCACUUAACGGUGUCCUGUCGACAGGUCCCAGAUUAAUGUUCUGCGCCGGGUCAUCCUCGGGUCUUGAGCUCCCGCCUUGGUGAGCUCGGCUUGAGAGCCUGGAGGCGGACGGCGUCAUAUUUCAUGUCCCUUUGCCGAUUGGCCAUUGGCUACUGAGGUUAGGGAAAAACCAUGACUUGCCAACAUAC
RNAcentral lists this small RNA (302 nucleotides) under Penicillium steckii. RNAcentral's name for it is "A. fumigatus sRNA Afu_309". It matches the Rfam family "A. fumigatus sRNA Afu_309". The record is from Rfam by way of RNAcentral. Lineage: Eukaryota; Fungi; Ascomycota; Eurotiomycetes; Eurotiales; Aspergillaceae.